Molecule: ribosomal RNA, 395 nt
Filed under: uncultured bacterium
Lineage: Bacteria
Description: partial 16S ribosomal RNA
Rfam family: Bacterial small subunit ribosomal RNA
Source: RNAcentral
AUACGUAGGGUGCAAGCGUUAAUCGGAAUUACUGGGCGUAAAGCGUGCGCAGGCGGUUUUGUAAGACAGAGGUGAAAUCCCCCGGCUCAACCUGGGAACUGCCAUUGAUACUGCAAGGCUUGAGUGCGGGAGAGGGGGGCGGACUUCCGCGUGUAGCGGUGAAAUGCGUAGAUAUGCGGAGGAACACCGAUGGCGAAGGCGAUCCCCGGAGCGUGCUCUGAGGCUCAUGCACGAAAUCGGGGGGAGCAAACAGGAUUAGAUACCCUGGUAGUCCUGGCCCUAAACGAUGAAAACUGGUUGUUGGGGAUUUAUUUUCUCAGCGUCGAAACGAAAACGUGAAGUUGACCGCCCGGGGAGUCCGGCCCCAAGGUUAAAACGCAAAGGAAAUUUGGGGG